Non-coding RNA from Pelodiscus sinensis (Chinese soft-shelled turtle), 730 nucleotides. Lineage: Eukaryota; Metazoa; Chordata; Testudines; Trionychidae. The record is from RefSeq and is a predicted model, not a curated record.
CAGUGAUACAGACCAGCUCUAAAACCUGCCUGCGCAGUUCAAUUAAUGUUAUAGAUGCUUCCUCCAUAUUGGCUAUAUGUAUUGCUGCCACAUUUGCAGGGGGUGGUACGGAGAGGCUGGGCUACAGACACUGCUGUUCUUCCACAGCACCCCAGCCUGCAGCACAGACAGGAAUAAGGACAUCGCCCAGGAACCCUCUGGGAGCAUUUCAGAGGUAACAGACAUGGGCAGCCCAGGGCUUCAUUGGCAGUGACACCAUGUGGGGGAAAGACGUGAGAAUCUGAGCACUGGGGCACUUGGAGGCUGGGAAGCUUGUAGAUGCAGCAAAGGAACAAGGAACAGUGCUCCCUAUUUCUAAUACAUACAAGGUCUAACACACUGUAGAGAAGAGCCUAUACAUACAAGCCAGUGUACAAAUAUAAAAACAGAUGACACUAUCCAAGACUGUUCAGUGGGCAGCAACAAGCUAUUUUUUAAUUGGAGGGAGACAACAGGCAUUUCAAAUGAGGAGUAUUUUGAAGACAGCAGUGCUGAAUGAUCUACCAAGCGAGGCAUUUAAUGCAGAGGUUACUGCCGGGCUGCCACAGAAACUUGUUAAAUGACAGACCAAGAGGCUGUUCAGAAAAUUAUCUUGCUAACAGGUGUCUGAAGUUACUCAAAUAAAUUUUUGCUUCUUUUUACAUGUGUAUAAUCAGAUUUAAGGUACUUCAACAACAAGCCACUUGGGCAA